GUGGGUAUAGCUCAGUGGUAUAGUGCAUGCUUAGCAUGAAAGAGAUCCUGGGUUCAAUCCCCAGUGCCUCCA
RNAcentral lists this transfer RNA (72 nucleotides) under Camelus bactrianus (Bactrian camel). It matches the Rfam family "tRNA". Rfam says of the family: Transfer RNA (tRNA) molecules are approximately 80 nucleotides in length. Their secondary structure includes four short double-helical elements and three loops (D, anti-codon, and T loops). Further hydrogen bonds mediate the characteristic L-shaped molecular structure. tRNAs have two regions of fundamental functional importance: the anti-codon, which is responsible for specific mRNA codon recognition, and the 3' end, to which the tRNAs corresponding amino acid is attached (by aminoacyl-tRNA synthetases). tRNAs cope with the degeneracy of the genetic code in two manners: having more than one tRNA (with a specific anti-codon) for a particular amino acid; and 'wobble' base-pairing, i.e. permitting non-standard base-pairing at the 3rd anti-codon position. The record is from Rfam by way of RNAcentral. RNAcentral also lists the same sequence under 2 other names. Lineage: Eukaryota; Metazoa; Chordata; Mammalia; Artiodactyla; Camelidae.